GUGAGGAAUAUUGCGCAAUGGAGGCAACUCUGACGCAGCCAUGCCGCGUGCAGGAAGAAGGCGCUACGCGUUGUAAACUGCUUUUAACCGGGAAGAAACCCCAGGACGUGUCCUGGGUUGACGGUACCGGAGGAAUAAGCACCGGCUAACUUCGUGCCAGCAGCCGCAGUAAUACGAAGGGUGCAAGCGUUAUCCGGAUUCAUUGGGUUUAAAGGGUGCGUAGGCGGAGCGUUAAGUCAGUGGUGAAAUCCUGCAGCUUAACUGUAGACUUGCCAUUGAUACUGGCGCUCUUGAGUGCGCUUGAAGUGGGCGGAAUGUGCCGUGUAGCGGUGAAAUGCUUAGAUAUGGCACAGAACACCAAUUGCGAAGGCAGCUCACUAAGGCGAUACUGACGCUGAGGCACGAAAGCGUGGGGAUCGAACAGGAUUAGAAACCCUAGUAGUCC
This 445-nucleotide ribosomal RNA is filed under the name uncultured bacterium. RNAcentral describes it as "bacterial SSU rRNA". It matches the Rfam family "Bacterial small subunit ribosomal RNA", at positions 354 to 796 of the family's 1533-position model. The record is from RNAcentral.